RNAcentral lists this transfer RNA (100 nucleotides) under Paraphaeosphaeria sporulosa. It matches the Rfam family "tRNA". Rfam says of the family: Transfer RNA (tRNA) molecules are approximately 80 nucleotides in length. Their secondary structure includes four short double-helical elements and three loops (D, anti-codon, and T loops). Lineage: Eukaryota; Fungi; Ascomycota; Dothideomycetes; Pleosporales; Didymosphaeriaceae. The record is from Rfam by way of RNAcentral.
GGGCUUGUGGUUUAGUGGUAUAAUUUUCCCUUAGCAUUUGUGUGGUUUACUACAACAUGAAGCGUGGGAAAGGUCCUGGGUUCGAUUCCCAGCAAGUCCA